RNAcentral lists this ribosomal RNA (467 nucleotides) under uncultured bacterium. RNAcentral's name for it is "partial 16S ribosomal RNA". It matches the Rfam family "Bacterial small subunit ribosomal RNA", at positions 28 to 506 of the family's 1533-position model. The record is from RNAcentral.
GACGAACGCUGGCGGCGUGCUUAACACAUGCAAGUCGAACGGAAAGGCCCUGCUUUUGUGGGGUGCUCGAGUGGCGAACGGGUGAGUAACACGUGAGUAACCUGCCCUUGACUUUGGGAUAACUUCAGGAAACUGGGGCUAAUACCGGAUAGGAGCUCCUGCUGCAUGGUGGGGGUUGGAAAGUUUCGGCGGUUGGGGAUGGACUCGCGGCUUAUCAGCUUGUUGGUGGGGUAGUGGCUUACCAAGGCUUUGACGGGUAGCCGGCCUGAGAGGGUGACCGGCCACAUUGGGACGGAGAUACGGCCCAGACUCCUACGGGAGGCAGCAGUGGGGAAUAUUGCACAAUGGGCGGAAGCCUGAUGCAGCAACGCCGCGUGCGGGAUGACGGCCUUCGGGUGGUAAACCGCUUUCGCCUGUGACGAAGCGUGAGGGACGGUAAUGGGUAAAGAAACACCGGCGAACUACGU